CUCAUUUCAAUACUUCAUUUGUUGGCAAAACACAAAUAAAUUCAUUGAGUUCAUCGUUUAUAAAACUAUGGAAGUGAGCAGAUAACUAGCAGUAAUAUCAUCAUGAUUCUCAAUGCCAUGUCCAGUAGCUAUACAAAACCAAACAUCACAAGUGGUGAGUCCUGAACUAAGCCGGGGGAUAGCAGAAGUUCUUUAGGAUAACUGGUGCAUGAGCUGAGGAUUACUUCUGCUACUGCCCCUCCAAAACAGUAAGGUCACAGAAUGGCUUCCAAAACAGUAAUGGUUGCUUUUGUGCUUUCUAGAUAUGCAAUGCUGUUGCUGUGGCAGGUUAUCUUAACGCGACCCUGGUCAUUCCACAUUUCCACUUUCAUAGCAUUUGGAGGGAUCCAAGGUUGAUUUUCUCUUCUAUUGUUCUAUACUUUCAGGGGCUCAGUGAUUUUAUUAUUUCAUAGAUAUACAUAUAAUCAAUGUACAACUCAGGAAGUGUGUAAAGCCUGCUAACAUCUCAUGGGUAGCUGUUACUGGUGAAAAGCUCUUGAUUAUGUCAUAUAAUUGUGUAGAUCAGUGAAAUGCAUUAAACCUGGCUAUGACAUUAAAAAUUUGGCAACUCUAAUUGAUUAAAUCAUUAGAGAAAAAAACGGACAAAAGGCAGUGGGUCAAAACAGACACUCUCCAAGGCUCUUAUUCCAUAUCUUGUAUGCUAGAGAGCAUUCAAGAGGAGUUCAGAUGGUGUUUUACAGGUAUCUAUGGACCUCACACAGAUCCGGAAAGGGAAGAGAUGUGGCACGAAAUUGCUGGAGUUCGGGGGUUAUGGGAUGGACAUUGGGUAUUAGGGGGUGAUUUCAAUGUGUGCAGAUUUGAAAGCGAGAAAUUAAAUUGCUUGAGAAGGACUAGUGCCAUGAGAUCCUUCUCAGACACCAUUCAGGACCUUAACCUGAUUGAUUUGCCAUUACAAGGGGCUCAAUUUACAUGGUCUAGGGGUGAUAAUUUUGUGCAAGCAUCUAGAAUUGAUAGAUUUCUCAUCUCCACCGAGUGGAGUGACUCAUUCAAGGAUGUAAAACAAUCAGCUCUCCCAAAAGUAAUCUCUGAUCACAAACCUAUUCUACUUGAAUGCGGAGACUGGGAUGUUAGCCCUUCAUACUUCAAGUUUGAAAACAUGUGGCUUCAAUCAGAAGGGUUUCUAGAGAAGCUAGAAUAUUGGUGGCAGAGCUACAAUAUAGUGGGCAGGGCAGAUUUUGUACUACUUCAGAAAUUGAAAAGGUUGAAGAGGGAUAUAACAAACUGGAACAGAGAAGAAUUUGGCAAGGUAGAGACCAGGAAACCAGAGCUCUAGAUGAGCUGGCAGCUUUUGAGCAAGCAGCUGAGAGUAGACAAUUAACAGUUCCAGAACUAUUCAGAUGUGAACCUGAGAAUUGAGCUUCAACAACUAGUUAAAGCUGAGGAAAUCUCAUGGAGACAGAAAUCCAGAUGCUUAUGGCUCAAAGAGGGAGACAAGAACACAAAGUUCUUCCAAAAAAUUGCAAAUUCUCAUAGAAGGGGCAAUUGCAUAGACAAACUCAAAGUGGGAACUGAGAUCAUUGAAGAUAAGCAGAGGAUAAAGCAAGAAACUGUUGAUUUUUACAAAAGUUUGUACACUGAACCUGAAUAAAGUGGGAACUGAGAUCAUUGAAGAUAAGCAUAGGAUAAAGCAAGAAACUGUUGAUUUUUACGAAAGUUUGUACACUGAACCUGAACAGUGGAGGCCUUCAGCCAACUUUUAGGGCAUUCCAUCCAUCUCAGUUGAGGAAAAGUUUAAUCUGGAAGCAACUUUUCAAGAAGAGGAAGUAUUGGCAGCUAUUCAGUCUUGCGCUCCCGACAAGGCACCAGGGCCAGAUGGGUACACAAUGGCAUUUUAUCAGAAAUCAUGGGACUUCAUCAAAGUUGACAUACUGGCAGCUAUGAACCAUUACCAUCAACAUUGUUGGAUGGUUAGAUCAUGCAAUGCCUCCUUCAUAGCUCUCAUUCCCAAGAAAAAAGGAGCAAUAGAACUCAAAGAUUAUAGGCCAAUUAGUUUAAUUGGGAGUGUCUACAAGAUCAUAGCUAAAGUCCUGGCAGAAAGGUUAAAGACAGUUAUGGGAAAGCUAGUCUCUAAACACCAGAAUGCUUUUCUUAAAGAUAGGCAAAUCACUGAUGCCUCACUGAUUGCAAAUGAGGUUCUUGAUUGGAAAAUAAAAAACGGAGGGGCGGGCAUCUUAUGCAAGUUGGAUAUAGAGAAGGCCUUUGAUCAGUUGAAUUGGUCAUAUCUUCUUUCCAUCCUUAGGCAAAUGGGGUUCGGUGAAAGAUGGAUCAAUUGGAUCAAUUUCAACAUUUCUACAGUAAAAUACUCAAUUCUCAUCAACAGAAGUCCAGUUGGGUUUUUCUCCCCACAAAGAGGUUUGAGGCAGGGAGAUCCACUUUCUCCUUUUCUCUUCAUACUUGCAAGUUGCAAUGGAGGGUUUAAGCAGAAUGUUAGAUAAAGCCAAGCAAUUGCAAUGGCUGAAUGGUUUUGAUGUGGGGAGCAUGAUCACUACAAACAUCUCUCAUCUGCUUUAUGCAGAUGACACUCUGAUAUUUUGUGAGGCAAACAGGAGUCAAGUUCUCUAUUUGAAUCUAACCCUUUUGAUUUUUGAAGCCCUCUCAGGUUUGCACAUCAAUAUGCUAAAAAGUGUGAUCUAUCCUGUUAAUGAGGUGCUAAACUUGGAAGAAUUAGCAGGUAUCUUGGGAUGUAGUAUGGGUGAAUUCCCAAAAACCUAUUUGGGGUUUCCACUAGGUGCUAAGUAUAAGUCAACAGCUAUAUGGGGACGAGUUAUUGAGAAGUUUGAGAAAAAACUUGCCUCCUGGAAGAUGCAGUACCUAUCGACAGGGGGCAGACUUACACUGAUCAACAGUGUACUUGAUAGUAUUCCCACAUACUAUAUGCAACUUUUUCCUAUUCCUGGCAAAGUGUUGGAACAACUUGACAAGAUCAGGAGAGAUUUUCUAUGGGAAGGGAAUAGUGAGAAGCACAAGUAUCAUCUGGUGGAAUGGCCAAAAGUCCUUCUUCCUAAACUACAGGGGGGGUUAGGGAUCAAGGAUUUGGCGCUGCAUAAUAAGUGUCUACUUAUGAAAUGGUUAUGGAGAUACACACAGGAGGAACAUGUUUUAUGGAAGGAUGUGGUCAGUGCAAAGCAUGGGAUACAGAGUCAUUGGUGCACCAGUCUUUCAAAAGCACCUUAUGGGGUCGGAGUCUGGAAACACAUAUGCAAGCUAUGGGAGAAAUUUUCUCAGCAUAAGCACUUCACAGUGGGGAAUGGACUUCAUAUCAGAUUUUGGAAAGACAAAUGGCUUCGCAACACAGUUCUGAUGGAUGAUUAUCCAAGUCUUUUCAACUUAGCCAGGGAUCCAGACUCAACAAUUUCUCAAAAUAGAGAUGGAGCAACCUGGAGCAUUAUGUUUAGAAGGAAUAUGCAGGAUUGGGAGUUUAAUGACCUGAUCAAACUACUACAGACUCUACAGAGUUUCUCUCUCAACACUCAGGCAACAGAUCAGUUCAAAUGGGGUACUACAGGAGACGGGAAUUACACAGUGAGUGCAGCCUACAAGCAGUCAAGAGCAUUUAAUGCAGUCACUGACCACUGGCCAUGGAAAUUAAUUUGGAAAAUCAAGCUACCGCCCAAGAUCGUCUGUUUUUGCUGGACUGCACUAUAUGAAGCAUGCCUAACUCAAGACAACCUCUAUAAAAGGAAACGCAUCAUUGUGAAUGGAUGCUACUUAUGUCAGAAAGCAGCAGAGAGCAAUAGGCACCUUUUUCUGCAUUGUACUGUUACAGCAAAAUUGUGGAACAUGUUUUACUCUUUUUUUGGACUCAGUUGGGUCAUGCCACAUAGUAUCAAAGAAGCUUAUGAGAGUUGGUGUUGCUGGAAAGUUGACAGCACCAUCAAACAGACUUGGAAGAUGAUACCUGCAGCAAUUUUUUGGAGUAUUUGGAGGGAAAGGAACAGAAGAUGUUUUGAAGGUCUAUCAACUCCUUUACAUUCUCUCAAAGCGGAAUGCCUUAUAUGUCUGUACAGUUGGGUUAAUUUGUCCUAUGUAGAUUCCCUGGAUAGUUUUUCAAAUUUUGUUGGCUCCUUAGUUUUAGCAUAAUUGUACUUGAGCCAGCAGACCAACUGUUUUUGCUUCUACUUUUGUAACUAAUUUGCAUCUUCUUGAUGCCUUCAAUGGAACAUUUACUUCAUCAAAAAAAAAGGUCACAGAAUGGCUUCUAGGGAGUCAGAAGCAAGCUGAGCGAAAUGCAGGUAGAAGUCGCACAAGAAGAGGGUGAGACAUUCAUUCCCCAUCUAUUCAGAAGCAAAUAAAGGUUUACAAACAGAAACAGUACAUGGACAACGAAAGCAAAUUCCCAUGUGAGAUACCUUGAAGAAGACAAAGUAAGGAACAGCAGAAACAGAGUGCAGCUCAGAUAUCUCAGGCUGUUCUUCAGCUUCAAC
This 4484-nucleotide long non-coding RNA is filed under the name Solanum tuberosum (potato). RNAcentral's name for it is "long non-coding RNA (STUB_LNC003024)". Lineage: Eukaryota; Viridiplantae; Streptophyta; Magnoliopsida; Solanales; Solanaceae. The record is from RNAcentral.